This 328-nucleotide long non-coding RNA is filed under the name Ananas comosus (pineapple). RNAcentral describes it as "long non-coding RNA (ACOM_LNC017227)". Lineage: Eukaryota; Viridiplantae; Streptophyta; Magnoliopsida; Poales; Bromeliaceae. The record is from RNAcentral.
AUACGCUAGUAAAUUCAUCAUACGAUGUUCUAAUUUAUGUAUGUGAAUUGAUAAAAUGCAUGAAUUUUAAUUUCUUAGUCUUAAGUGCAGAAAAUUUUCUCUAUUAAAUAUGUGGCAUCUGCAACAAUCUAAAAACUGCUUAAAAAUAUUAUUUGACGUAAUGUACUGCAAUAAUGGCAACUUGAUAAGUCAGCAUUGUUGAAUUAUCUGAAAAAGUCAUUAGAUGGUUCGCCAUUUAUCGACUAGAGUGCAAAAAUUUUCUGCACCGCAAUUAGAAUAGAACUAGCGUCUUGCGAUCAAAAUCCUUCUGUUUAUUUAUAUUACUAUA